RNAcentral lists this ribosomal RNA (655 nucleotides) under Macrobrachium clymene. RNAcentral's name for it is "eukaryotic LSU rRNA". It matches the Rfam family "Eukaryotic large subunit ribosomal RNA", at positions 646 to 1135 of the family's 3401-position model. The record is from RNAcentral. Lineage: Eukaryota; Metazoa; Arthropoda; Malacostraca; Decapoda; Palaemonidae.
GACCCGUUCUUAAAGCACGGACCAAGGAGUCCAACAUGUGCGCGAGUCUAAGGGUGAGAUAAACCCGGAGGCGAAAUGAAAGUGAGCUCCGUUGGGGCAGGCCGAUCCCCUGUCGAGGCCGGGUAGCGGAAGCCGCCGGGUGAGGGACUUUCCCCGUGCUGGCGUGCCGCUGUUCGGUCUGGGCUGCUCCGUCUCGCGAGGGUCGGGGUAUCGGGGGCGCAGGCCGAGGACUUGCCUGUGUGCGGCGCGGGCAACGGGUUGCUCUCGGGCUUCCUUAUCCCGACGUCCGCCGGCAAGUACCUGAGAGCGCAGCCGUUGGGACCCGAAAGAUGGUGAACUAUGCCUGGCGAGGACGAAGCCAGAGGAAACUCUGGUGGAGGUCCGAAGCAGUUCUGACGUGCAAAUCGAUUGUCAGAGCUGGGUAUAGGGGCGAAAGACUAAUCGAACCAUCUAGUAGCUGGUUCCCUCCGAAGUUUCCCUCAGGAUAGCUGGCAUUUUUGGGGAUGAGUUUCAUCCGGUAAAGCGAAUGAUUAGAGGCCUUGGUGGUGCAAUGCCGUCAACCUAUUCUCAAACUUUAAAUGGGUGAGAUGUAGAGCUUGCUUGAGAGAAAUGUGAAGCUCUAUUGAAUUUGAAUCAGAAUGCCUAGUGGGCCACU